AUGGAACAAUCUUCAAUAAUAAUAAAAACUAAUUUGUAUUUUACAGUACAUACCUUUUUUUGUUGCUGUAGUUGUUGCAGCAGUAGUAGUAGGAGAGGUAGCAGCAGUAGUGGUAGUAGAAGUAGUAGCAGCAGAAGUAGUAAGAGAAGUAGCAGCAGUAGUAGUAGUAGUUGUAGUAGGAAAAGUAAUAGUAGGAUGAGGAGGAGUAGGAGGAACAGCAACAGAAGUAGUAGUAGGACGAGAAGUAGCAGUAGUAGUUGUAGUAGGACUAGUAGUAGAAGUAGUAGUAGGAGGAGGAGCUGCAGUAGUAGUAGCAGUUGUAGUAGGAGAAGUAGUAGUAGCAGUUCUAGUAGAAGUAGCAAUAGUAGUUGGAGGAGGAGGAACAGCAACAGUAGUAGUAGUAGGAGGAGGAGAAGUAGCAGUAGAAGUUGUGGUGGCAGUAGUAUUAGUGGUAGGAGGAACAGCAACAACAGUAGUAGUGGGAAGAGGAUUAGUAGUAGUAGCAGCAGUAGUUGUAGUAGGAGUAGUAGCUGCAGUAGUAGUAGCAAUUGUAGUAGGAGAAGUAGCAGCAGUUGUAGUAAGAGAAGUGGCAGCAGUAGUAGUUGUAGUAGGAAAAGUAGUAGUAGUAGGAGGAGGAGUAGGAGGGACAGCAACAGAAGUAGCAGCAGUAGUUGUAGUAAGAGUAGUAGUAACAGUAGUAGUAGUAGGAGGAGGAGGAGUAGCUGCAGUAGUAGUAGCAGUUGUAGUAGGAGAAGCAGCAGCAGUAGUAGUAGCAGCAGUAGUAGUAGGAGUUGUAGCUGCUGCAGUAGUAGUAACAGUUCUAGCAGAAGUAGUAGUAGGAGUAGUAGCUGCAGUAGUAGUAGUAACAGUUCUAGUAGAAGUAGUAGUAGGAGUAGUAGCUGCAGUAGCAGUAGUAGCAGUUGUAGUAGGAGAAGUAGCAGCAGUAGUAGUAGGAGGAGGAACGGCAACAGUAGUAGUAGUAGUAGGAGAAGUAGUAGUAGCUGA
Molecule: long non-coding RNA, 1005 nt
Organism: Cyprinus carpio (common carp)
Lineage: Eukaryota; Metazoa; Chordata; Actinopteri; Cypriniformes; Cyprinidae
Source: Ensembl